RNAcentral lists this small nuclear RNA (82 nucleotides) under Chinchilla lanigera (long-tailed chinchilla). RNAcentral describes it as "U4 spliceosomal RNA (ENSCLAG00000020595.1)". It matches the Rfam family "U4 spliceosomal RNA". From Rfam's summary of the family: U4 small nuclear RNA (U4 snRNA) is a component of the major U2-dependent spliceosome. The structure of U4 snRNA from yeast and human has been reported. Lineage: Eukaryota; Metazoa; Chordata; Mammalia; Rodentia; Chinchillidae. The record is from RNAcentral.
AGCUUUGCGCAGUGGCAGUAUUGUAGCCAAUGAGGUUUAUCCAAGGAGUGAUUAUUGCUAAUUGAAAUAUAAACAGGUUAAU